RNAcentral lists this ribosomal RNA (465 nucleotides) under uncultured bacterium. RNAcentral describes it as "partial 16S ribosomal RNA". It matches the Rfam family "Bacterial small subunit ribosomal RNA", at positions 28 to 507 of the family's 1533-position model. The record is from RNAcentral.
GACGAACGCUGGCGGCGUGCUUAACACAUGCAAGUCGAACGGAAAGGCCCCUUUGUGGGUCCUCGAGUGGCGAACGGGUGCGUAACACGUGAGUAACCUGCCCUUGACUUCGGGAUAACUUCAGGUAACUGGGGCUAAUACCGGAUAGGAAUCCUUGCUGCAUGGUGGGGGUUGGAAAGCUUCGGCGGGUUUGGAUGGACUCGCGGCUUAUCAGCUUGUUGGUGGGGUAGUGGCUUACCAAGGCGUUGACGGGUAGCCGGCCUGAGAGGGCGACCGGCCACAUUGGGACUGAGAUACGGCCCAGACUCCGACGGGAGGCAGCAGUGGGGAAUAUUGCACAAUGGGCGGAAGCCUGAUGCAGCAACGCCGCGUGCGGGAUGACGGCCUUCGGGUUGUAAACCGCUUUCAGCAGGGGCGAAGCUUGUGGUGACGGUACCUGCAGAAGAAGCACCGGCUAACUACGUG